RNAcentral lists this ribosomal RNA (253 nucleotides) under uncultured bacterium. Its description in RNAcentral is "partial 16S ribosomal RNA". It matches the Rfam family "Bacterial small subunit ribosomal RNA", at positions 524 to 776 of the family's 1533-position model. The record is from RNAcentral.
UACGAGGGGGGCGAGCGUUGUUCGGAAUUAUUGGGCGUAAAGGGUGCGUAGGCGGUUUGGUAAGUCUGAUGUGAAAUCUAUGGGCUCAACUCAUAGUCUGCAUCGGAAACUGCCGGGCUUGAGUGUGGGAGAGGUGAGUGGAAUUCCUGGUGUAGCGGUGAAAUGCGUAGAUAUCAUUUGGAACGCCAAUGGUGAAAACAGGUAGCUGGGGAUGUGCUGACGCUGAGACACGAAAGCCAGGGGAGCAAACGGG